UUGUUAUAAAAAUUGCUUGUCAUAAUUCUCCCAGUAGAAAUAUUAAUGAGUUUAUUUUUUGGAAGAUUACAAUUUCAAUUGAAGUGGUCUUCAAGUGUCACUACACUUGGCACAGUUUGGCUACUGGUGAAUUCAUUUUCUUGACGUGAUCUUUGACACUAUCACUGGAGGGCACCCUGAGACAAACUAUCCUUCUCAGUUUUAGAUUUUCUGCUCUCCAGAAAGGCAUACACGUGAAAUGAGGAAAGUUGCAGGAGGUGAAGGGUAGUAUCAUUCACAGACUGACUACAAAUAAAUAUUGGGUUCUGCUUCUGCUUGAGGAGGUGUGUGAAAGCCCAAACAGGUAGAUCUCAACACCAGUGCCUUUGUAACAGUGUUAAGGGCUUUCUUUUCCCUGGAGCUGUUUAGUUCUCUUUAGUCACCCACCAGGCAGCUGUCCUGUUCUCCCCUAGAAGUUGUUCUAAGUUAAUCUUCAGCACCAAAUGUUUCACUCUCAGAGGUAAUGAGUGAAAUGUGUAAGGAUAGUGAAAGGAAAUGCUUGACAAUAUCCCUAAAGCCCCCUCUGUCACUGCCCGCCCUCCCUGCUUUGAAUUACUUAUUAGAAACCCAGAAACAUGGGCUUCUUUACCACAAUUUUAAACCCCUAAUUGUAAACAGUAUGUAUGCACCAACACAAUUUGAGUGUUAAAACAUUGUUUUAUGGGAAAUUCAUGUUAUGGCAACAUUUGUUUUUAAAGUGCAAAUUAUUUAGGCAAAAAUGAAAUAUUAAGGAUUUGGGUUUGGCAAUCUUCACAUGACCAUUGAGAAGCUAACAGAAGUCAAUAUCGAACGUCUUGAGGAGGAGACACAUCACAAACAUGUAUUCAGCGCUCCUCCUCCGAGGCCACGCCUACUGCUAUCUUGUGCAACAAGUCCACUCAAUAGUCUUAAUAAUUGUUUUCUGCUUGACAGUUAUCUUACAACAAGACAAAAUUCAACAAGUUUUCCUACCUUCAACUCAUGGCCUUAAAACGAAAGCAUAGACACUUAACUAGAAGCAUGGAGUACAAUCAGAAGCGCAGGAGGGUGAGAGAAUUCAACAGGGCCAGAGCAGACAGCAGAAUGGCAGAUUGACAAAAAACACUGCCGAGGGGAGCAGCUAGCGGCAAGAAAGGUCUGUGCACCAUGUGGGACCCUCCCACAGCGGCCAGGGAUCGGACAGGUGCUCCAGAGGCUGUGCCAGCUUCGCACCCCACGCUCAACUGUUGUGCCACCGGGGAGGCCCUCAAUUGCAUUUCUUAAGCCACAAAACAUUUUAUUAUCUACAUCUCUCUAAUAUGUAUGCAUCCAUACAUUCAUAGUGAAGACAAUACACAAAGCCAGAAGGAGGAAUAUGUACGUUUUCUGCUACAACAUGGUGUCAAUCCAGAUAUUUUGGACAUCAGUGGCAACUCUGUGCCCCACUAUGCAGUUGAUAACGAAAUCAGUUGAUAAUAACUAAGCUACUUUUACACAAAACGAAUAUGGAAGCACAAAACAAGAUCGAAGAACUAUUAGCAGUCAUUGCUUUUCUGCAAAUCAAACAGGAUGAGUAGUGUUCAGACCAAGGCAAGUAAAAUCUCACCCUUAUCAGACAAAUACUGCUAAGAGGUGAAUG
Long non-coding RNA from Talpa occidentalis (Iberian mole), 1636 nucleotides. RefSeq lists it as uncharacterized. The record is from RefSeq and is a predicted model, not a curated record. Lineage: Eukaryota; Metazoa; Chordata; Mammalia; Eulipotyphla; Talpidae. The transcript has 3 exons.